GGUGACACCCGAAGUGGUCACGGUGACAACACAACCCAGGGAGGUGGUGACACCCAAGGUGGUCGCGGUGACACCCGAAGUCGCGGUGGCACCCGAAGUCGCGGUGACAACGCAACCCAGGGAAGUGGUGACGGUGACACCCAAGGUGGUGACGGUGACAUCCGAGGUGGUCGCGGUGACACCCGAAGUCGCGGUGACAACGCAACCCAGGGAGGUGGUGACGGUGACACCCAAGGUGGUGACGGUGACACCCGAGGUGGUCGCGGUGACGCUCAACGCGUCAUCGCUCCCCCCUCACGCGUCACCGCGACCGCCACAACCGGAGGAGGUGUUCUUGGGGACAACGCGACCCGGGGUUGUAGCGUUGCCCGGGACGACGGUGACGCCGCCGGUGACAACGUGCCCGCCCGAGGGGGGACGGGUGACACCCGCAGGCACCUCCUGCCCGCGGUUGUUGCCGUCACCCGCUCCGCGGCCCUACAACGUCACCGCACACUGACAACCGGACAGUCACCCUGUUGUCCGGGUGACACGGUACGACUGUCGCCUCCGCUUCGAGGUGACACCUGGAGAUGGUCACCGUUGCGCGGGUGUCGCGUGGCACGGUGACACCCACGGAUUCGGGGACGCUUUGGAGGACCGUCACCGCGGUAACGGCGCCGCGGUGGCACCGAGCACCCAUGGGUGCCCCUACCUCACCCUCAGGGACCCCCCCCUCAUUCUCAGGGGGGGAGUCACGCCGGUAUUUAUAGGUUUCUAUUUAUUGAAGAUUAUUUAACGGUCGGGUAUUUAAUAUUUAACACUAUUUAUUUUUGGGGGGGGCCGUUUCGCCCCGAUUUUGGGUAAUUUAUUACAGGAACGGUUGUUUACAACGUGCGUUGUCGCUGUGUCGUCAUUGGAGCAUCACAUGCAUGGGGGGGAUGGGCAAAACUUGAGGAUUUUGGGUUUUCCGACCCAAUUUGCGACGCUUCGUAGCGGGAGGCUGAAAGAAAACGCCACUUUUGGGUGGAGAAAUCCCGUUUUUGGGUUGGAAAAAGGGUUUUUGGUUGGGAAGACCACUUGGAGGAGGAACAUGGUGUUUAUGAGUCAGAAAAAGGCCACUCUGAGGUGGGAAAACGCUACUUUUGGGUGGAAAACAUGGAUUUUUAGUUAAAAAACGAGUGGUUUUAGGUGGGAAAAGUCAAUU
RNAcentral lists this long non-coding RNA (1186 nucleotides) under Numida meleagris (helmeted guineafowl). RNAcentral describes it as "lncRNA (ENSNMEG00000000830.1)". Lineage: Eukaryota; Metazoa; Chordata; Aves; Galliformes; Numididae. The record is from RNAcentral.